Molecule: long non-coding RNA, 1225 nt
Filed under: Phaseolus vulgaris (common bean)
Lineage: Eukaryota; Viridiplantae; Streptophyta; Magnoliopsida; Fabales; Fabaceae
Description: long non-coding RNA (PVUL_LNC004082)
Source: RNAcentral
GAAGCCCCACAUUGCCCAAGAAAAAUCAAUAAAAUUUGCAAAAGAGACAGAAGCAAAGACUGACAUUAAAUUUGAAACGGUAAUAAAAGAUUGUUUGGAUGUUGAAGGGUCUGUAGUCUGUACCUUAAGGGACCCCCAAAAUUUAAAGCAUCACUGACUAAAAUCCUACAGGAUUAGGUGCAUCCCCAUUUACUGCAAAAAUGUAGCAACCCAAAGCUCAAACCAAGCAAUGUCUCCCUCCUUCCUUGCUUUCUUUCCCAGGCCUUCUUCAAUUCAAAACAGACAGAACCAAACAAGCAAAAAUUGUUUUGUUUUACCAAACCAGAAAAAAAAAACCAGUCAGCAAACUCAGAUCAUGAUAAAUAAUAAAAGAAGAAGAGAAAAAGUGUGGCAAAGCAACAUAAGAUUUGGUUUGAAUUUGAAAUAUCCAGUCCUGGCAUAUUAACAUUGGUUACAAAGAGAGUAAGUAAAGAAAAAAUAAUAGCAAUGCUAAGUGCUAAAUGCUAAAUGCUAAUACCACUAAGCUAACAGAUUGAGCCAUCUAGCCAAUAUCACGACGAGCAGCAUGAUAUAAUAAUCAAGAGAAGAAAAAGAAGAACAUCAUAGUGACAGGCGAGAAUUGGAGUUGAGUGAAAGCCUUUUGCCUCGGAAGGAUGGUUGAGUGAAAGAGAAAGCAUUGGUGGUGGUGGUGGUGCAGCCAGUGGUGCUUGAGGUGGCACCAAAGGCAGGGCCUCUCCCAGUGUGGUGAAAGAGGAAACAUGAGUGAGUGAAGAAUGGGAGAAGGAGUGUGGUGCAAAAGGGUGCAAAAGGGUGAAAAGGGGUAACUAGCUAAGGGGUGAAGGAGUGGCUGGUUGGUUGUGUCCCACUGUGAUUGUCUGUCCAAGCAUAACGUGGGCAAAAGAAAAUGAAUGGUUGGUGUGCUUUUUUUCUGUACGGUUUGGGCAUGGAGAUACUUCUCUUCUGCUUUCUAUGUGUUGUGUUGUGUUGUGUUGUUGCCUUAACCUCUUUUCUCUCUCUCUCUCUCUGUUUCUCUCUCUAAAUUCAGCUCAACUCAAAUCUCAAUCCUUUUCUUUCUCCAGUGGGUGCCCAGAAGCCCAGAUUAGCUAGAUUUGCGCAAGCAACCUCUGUCCUCUUUUCUCUUCCUUUCCUCACCUUCGUCAAUCACCAUAAUUCCAUUCAGCUCCCUCCUUCUUCCACUCUCUUUUUUAAUAUUCUUCAAAACUUU